AACGCGAAGAACCUUACCCAGACUUGACAUACAGUGGAAGUUAGCAGAAAUGUUAACGCUCUUCGGAGCCGCUGAACAGGUGCUGCAUGGCUGUCGUCAGCUCGUGCCGUGAGGUGUUGGGUUAAGUCCCGCAACGAGCGCAACCCUUAUCGUUAGUUGCCAACAGGUAAUGCUGGGAACUCUAGCGAGACUGCCUGGGUUAACCAGGAGGAAGGUGAGGAUGACGUCAAGUCCGCAUGGCCCUUAUGUCUGGGGCUACACACGUGCUACAAUGGCCGGUACAGAAGGCAGCGAAGCCGCGAGGUGAAGCAAAUCCCAAAAGCCGGCCCCAGUUCAGAUUGUAGUCUGCAACUCGACUACAUGAAGACGGAAUUGCUAGUAAUGGCAGGUCAGCAACACUGCCGUGAAUACGUUCCCGGGCCUUGUACACACCGCUCGCGA
RNAcentral lists this ribosomal RNA (441 nucleotides) under uncultured bacterium. RNAcentral's name for it is "bacterial SSU rRNA". It matches the Rfam family "Bacterial small subunit ribosomal RNA", at positions 958 to 1399 of the family's 1533-position model. The record is from RNAcentral.